GUUCGAGACUAGAACGUUGAUAGGCAGGGUGUGUAAGCGUUGUGAGGCGUUGAGCUAACCUGUACUAAUUGCCCGUGAGGCUUAACCAUACAACACCCAAGGGGUUU
This 107-nucleotide ribosomal RNA is filed under the name Vibrio harveyi. Its description in RNAcentral is "partial 23S ribosomal RNA". The stretch from base 1 to 89 matches the Rfam family "Bacterial large subunit ribosomal RNA", at positions 2837 to 2925 of the family's 2925-position model. Lineage: Bacteria; Pseudomonadati; Pseudomonadota; Gammaproteobacteria; Vibrionales; Vibrionaceae. The record is from RNAcentral.